AGCUCCAAUAGCGUAUAUUAAAGUUGUUGCAGUUAAAAAGCUCGUAGUUGGAUUUCUGGUGGGAGCGACCGGUCCGACGCUUAGCGUGGGUACUUGCGUCGUCUCCGGCCAUCCUUGGGGAGAGUCUGUCUGGCAUUAAGUUGUCGGGCAGAGGAUCCUCAUCGUUUACUGUGAAAAAAUUAGAGUGUUCAAAGCAGGCUUAUGCCGUUGAAUAUAUUAGCAUGGAAUAAUAAGAUAGGACUUUGGUACUAUUUUGUUGGUUUGCGCACCAAAGUAAUGAUUAAUAGGGACAGUUGGGGGUAUUCGUAUUUCGUUGUCAGAGGUGAAAUUCUUGGAUUUACGAAAGACGAACUACUGCGAAAGCAUUUACCAAGGAUGUUUUCAUUAAUCAAGAACGAAA
Molecule: ribosomal RNA, 400 nt
Filed under: phytoplankton environmental sample
Lineage: Eukaryota
Description: partial small subunit ribosomal RNA
Rfam family: Eukaryotic small subunit ribosomal RNA
Source: RNAcentral